RNAcentral lists this transfer RNA (75 nucleotides) under Myxococcus fulvus 124B02. Its description in RNAcentral is "tRNA-Gly". It matches the Rfam family "tRNA". Rfam says of the family: Transfer RNA (tRNA) molecules are approximately 80 nucleotides in length. Their secondary structure includes four short double-helical elements and three loops (D, anti-codon, and T loops). Further hydrogen bonds mediate the characteristic L-shaped molecular structure. tRNAs have two regions of fundamental functional importance: the anti-codon, which is responsible for specific mRNA codon recognition, and the 3' end, to which the tRNAs corresponding amino acid is attached (by aminoacyl-tRNA synthetases). tRNAs cope with the degeneracy of the genetic code in two manners: having more than one tRNA (with a specific anti-codon) for a particular amino acid; and 'wobble' base-pairing, i.e. permitting non-standard base-pairing at the 3rd anti-codon position. Lineage: Bacteria; Pseudomonadati; Myxococcota; Myxococcia; Myxococcales; Myxococcaceae. The record is from RNAcentral.
GCAGCCUUGGCCGAGAGGCGAGGCACCUGAGCGCCACUCAGGACCACGCGGGUUCGACUCCCGCAGGCUGCUUCA